CCUACCACUACAGGAUUUGCAAAUGUGACUGCUGCAUUAGUAACUAGCAGAGAGGAGAGAGGCUAUGCCUGUGCUCAGUGUUCUGACAUGUGAACAUCUGAAUGAUUAGUAACUUAACACU
Rattus norvegicus (Norway rat) is the source of this 121-nucleotide small nucleolar RNA. Ensembl annotates it as small nucleolar RNA SNORA17. Lineage: Eukaryota; Metazoa; Chordata; Mammalia; Rodentia; Muridae. The record is from Ensembl.